This 1485-nucleotide ribosomal RNA is filed under the name uncultured Halomonas sp. Its description in RNAcentral is "bacterial SSU rRNA". It matches the Rfam family "Bacterial small subunit ribosomal RNA". Lineage: Bacteria; Pseudomonadati; Pseudomonadota; Gammaproteobacteria; Oceanospirillales; Halomonadaceae. The record is from RNAcentral.
GCCUAACACAUGCAAGUCGAGCGGCAGCACGGGAAGCUUGCUUCCUGGUGGCGAGCGGCGGACGGGUGAGUAAUGCAUAGGAAUCUGCCCGGUAGUGGGGGAUAACCUGGGGAAACCCAGGCUAAUACCGCAUACGUCCUACGGGAGAAAGCAGGGGCUCUUCGGACCUUGCGCUAUCGGAUGAGCCUAUGUCGGAUUAGCUGGUUGGUGAGGUAAUGGCUCACCAAGGCGACGAUCCGUAGCUGGGCUGAGAGGAUGAUCAGCCACAUCGGGACUGAGACACGGCCCGAACUCCUACGGGAGGCAGCAGUGGGGAAUAUUGGACAAUGGGCGCAAGCCUGAUCCAGCCAUGCCGCGUGUGUGAAGAAGGCCCUCGGGUUGUAAAGCACUUUCAGUGGGGAAGAACGCCUUCCGGUUAAUACCCGGGAGGAAAGACAUCACCCACAGAAGAAGCACCGGCUAACUCCGUGCCAGCAGCCGCGGUAAUACGGAGGGUGUGAGCGUUAAUCGGAAUUACUGGGCGUAAAGCGCGCGUAGGUGGCUUGAUAAGCCGGUUGUGAAAGCCCCCGGGCUCAACCUGAGAACGGCAUCCGGAACUGUCAGGCUAGAGUGCAGGAGAGGAAGGUAGAAUUCCCCGGUGUAGCGGUGAAAUGCGUAGAGAUCGGAGGAAUACCAGUGCGAAGGCGGCUUCUGGACUGACACUGACACUGAGGUGCGAAAGCGUGGGUAGCAACAGGAUUAGAUACCUGGUAGUCACGCCGUAAACGAUGUCGACUAGCCGUUGGGUCCUUCGCGGACUUGUGGCGCAGUUAACGCGAUAAGUCGACCGCCUGGGGAGUACGGCCGCAAGGUUAAAACUCAAAUGAAUUGACGGGGGCCCGCACAAGCGGUGGAGCAUGUGGUUUAAUUCGAUGCAACGCGAAGAACCUUACCUACCCUUGACAUCCUGCGAACCCUUCGGAGACGAAGGGGUGCCUUCGGGAACGCAGAGACAGGUGCUGCAUGGCUGUCGUCAGCUCGUGUUGUGAAAUGUUGGGUUAAGUCCCGUAACGAGCGCAACCCUUGUCCCUAUUUGCCAGCGAUUCGGUCGGGAACUCUAGGGAGACUGCCGGUGACAAACCGGAGGAAGGUGGGGACGACGUCAAGUCAACAUGGCCCUUACGGGUAGGGCUACACACGUGCUACAAUGGUCAGUACAAAGGGUUGCGAACUUGCGAGAGUGAGCCAAUCCCAGAAAGCUGAUCUCAGUCCGGAUCGGAGUCUGCAACUCGACUCCGUGAAGUCGGAAUCGCUAGUAAUCGUGAAUCAGAAUGUCACGGUGAAUACGUUCCCGGGCCUUGUACACACCGCCCGUCACACCAUGGGAGUGGACUGCACCAGAAGUGGUUAGCCUAACCUUCGGGAGGGCGAUCACCACGGUGUGGUUCAUGACUGGGGUGAAGUCGUAACAAGGUAGCCGUAGGGGAACCUGCGGCUGGAUCACCU